This 569-nucleotide long non-coding RNA is filed under the name Elaeis guineensis (African oil palm). RNAcentral's name for it is "long non-coding RNA (EGUI_LNC037187)". The record is from RNAcentral. Lineage: Eukaryota; Viridiplantae; Streptophyta; Magnoliopsida; Arecales; Arecaceae.
GGUAGCAGAGAUGAGGAGGGAGAAGAGGAGGAGGAAGAAGAGGAGAAAAGGGGGAGAGGACGCCAUAGUGGAGCGCAGACAAAGAGAGAGAGAGAGAGCUUUCAUGAAGGGAAUAAUGGUUUUAUCCAUGCAUUCGUUCAUCAAGAAAUGGAGAGAGAGAUCGAGUACGUUGGAAAGUGGCGGUGAGUUCGUUCUUUUCUGGGUUGGGGGGUGGCAUGGAGAGGGAAGGUAGCCGGGGCCGGCCUUGGGGCAGGUCGAAUUGGGCGACCGUCCCAGGCCCCAGACCCUGCAUUGAUGUUUCAAUUGGGUGCAAGGAUAACUUUCUACAAUAUUAUAACAAGAAAAAUAAUUAUAUAGGUUAAUGAUGGGUUUUACACGCUGCUUAAUGAAUAUAUCUAUAGUAAAUUAUUGCAUAUAGAUUAAUUUUUUAAUGAUAAUUAAUGUUUAAAGUAUGUUAAUUUUUAAUAGAGAAGGUCUCAUUUUUUUCAUUUAGCCUCAGGUCUAAAAUAUGUUAGGACCGGCUCUGAAGGUAGCCAAUGUUUCCGGUGCGUGACGGAGAAGGGGGGGAG